RNAcentral lists this ribosomal RNA (254 nucleotides) under uncultured bacterium. RNAcentral describes it as "partial 16S ribosomal RNA". It matches the Rfam family "Bacterial small subunit ribosomal RNA", at positions 524 to 776 of the family's 1533-position model. The record is from RNAcentral.
UACGGGCGGGGCGAGCGUUGUUCGGAUUCAUUGGGUGUAAAGGGUGCGCAAGCGGUCGGCUAAGUCGGGGGUGAAAUGUCUACGGCUCAACCGAGGCAUUGCCUUCGAUACUGGCCGACUUGAGUGCGGAAGGGGAGCGUGGAAUUCCUGGUGUAGCGGUGAAAUGCGUAGAUAUCAGGAGGAACACCCGUGGCGAAGGCGACGCUCUGGUCCGUAACUGACGCUCAUGCACGAAAGCCAGGGGAGCGAACGGG